This 517-nucleotide ribosomal RNA is filed under the name uncultured bacterium. RNAcentral's name for it is "bacterial SSU rRNA". It matches the Rfam family "Bacterial small subunit ribosomal RNA", at positions 29 to 526 of the family's 1533-position model. The record is from RNAcentral.
AACGAACGGUGGCGGCGUGGAUAAGACAUGCAAGUCGAACGGGAUUUCAUUUGUAGCAAUAUAGGUGAAAUUCAGUGGCGCAAGGGUGCGUAACACGUGGGCAAUCUGCCCAGGGACGCGGGAUAGCUCGCCGAAAGGCGAAUUAAUACCGCAUGUGGCUACUGAGGACAUCCUCGGGACGCUAAAGAUGGCGUAAGCUGUCAUUCCUGGAUGAGCCCGCGGCCUAUCAGCUAGUUGGUGAGGUAACUGCUCACCAAGGCUAUGACGGGUAGCUGGUCUGAGAGGACGACCAGCCACACUGGAACUGAGACACGGUCCAGACACCUACGGGUGGCAGCAGUCGAGAAUUUUUCUCAAUGGGCGCAAGCCUGAAGGAGCGACGCCGCGUGGAGGAUGAAGGUCUUCGGAUUGUAAACUCCUGUCAUUUGGGAACAAACCCUCCGGUUAACUGCCGGAAGGCUGAUAGUACCAGAAGAGGAAGGGACGGCUAACUCUGUGCCAGCAGCCGCCGUAACAC